Long non-coding RNA from Gallus gallus (chicken), 226 nucleotides. RefSeq lists it as uncharacterized. The transcript has 3 exons. NCBI's taxonomy places the organism in Eukaryota, Metazoa, Chordata, Aves, Galliformes, Phasianidae. The record is from RefSeq and is a predicted model, not a curated record.
UGUCCUGAGGAUGAAGCAGUCUGUAGAGGAGGAUGUCUUUAUCCCUCUGUAUCCGAAAAGGUCAAACAAAAUCCUUAUUUCCUCUUCUUCUUUUUCUGACCAGCACUGUGGAAGACAAAUCAUCUCCAUGUUCAAAAUUGCAAGGCAGACAGUUUUGGUCAGCUGUUGAGCUGCUCUCCAAGGUUCUCCUUUGGGAUGGGACUGUACAGGAAGACACAGUCCGUGG